This 207-nucleotide ribosomal RNA is filed under the name uncultured bacterium. RNAcentral describes it as "partial 16S ribosomal RNA". It matches the Rfam family "Bacterial small subunit ribosomal RNA", at positions 568 to 774 of the family's 1533-position model. The record is from RNAcentral.
UACGUAGGCGGUUCGGUAAGUCAGGUGUGAAAUCCCGGGGCUCAACCUCGGAACUGCACCCGAUACUGCUGAACUUGAGUAAUGGAGAGGCAGGUGGAAUUCUCGGUGUAGCAGUGAAAUGCGUGGAUAUCGAGAGGAAGACCAAUGGCGAAGGCAGCCUGCUGGACAUUUACUGACGCUGAGGUACGAAGGCCAGGGUAGCGAAAG